This 904-nucleotide long non-coding RNA is filed under the name Monodelphis domestica (gray short-tailed opossum). Its description in RNAcentral is "lncRNA (ENSMODG00000040890.1)". Lineage: Eukaryota; Metazoa; Chordata; Mammalia; Didelphimorphia; Didelphidae. The record is from RNAcentral.
GGAGAUGAAAUGUGUAGAUGGAGUUGCUGAUGGAUCAUUUUGACUCAGAUGUACAGCACAUGCAUGGAGUGCUAUAAAUUUGAAUGUAGAUAUUUCCUCUGACAAGGAAGAUUAUGGCAUAUAAACUUCAUAAGAAAUUAUGCUUGAAUUGCUUUGAUUGAGAACUGUGAGCCAAUGCUGUUAAUAAAGAAUUAAAAAAGAAAGAGAGAAAAAAGAAGUUUGGCAAAAACCAACCAGCAUAUCAAGUAAGUCUGACACAAGGACCCCUUAUUCCUCCACCAUUGCAAAGAAGAAUGAGAGGUUCAUUUUCUCAUCCUUUCUCAAGUCUAUUUCGUUGGGUGCUGGAGAGAGGAAGCGACUUGCAUCUAGAUUGCCGCCAUGCUUACCUGGAAGUCCCCCUUUAUCUCAUUCUUAAUGGAAGUUUUUGCACUAGUGAGGUUGUCCCUGGCAUCCUUCAGUCCCCAGUAAAAAUAUCCAUUGAGGAAACUUUUCACCUUCUCAAGACUUUCCCUCUCUGCAGUGAAAAUGGUAUAAAGGAAGAUCUUGGCCCUCAACUCAACUGAACCAGAAGCAGAUAUAGCAACAUAACUUCCAACAUGUAUUCUUACCCUGUAUAUGACAAUUCUAGCCUUAAAACUCUGCAAACUUCCUUUAUUUAAACUGUCAUUUACAUUACCUCAGUACUUGAGGUUAGGGUAUUUCCCAGUGGUUGCCCAUUAUAACACAUACUUGUGAAGUUGAAUUAUUUUUAAGUAUGGGAUUUUAUGUUUAUCUCUAUUAUAUUUCAUCUUUGUUAAUUCUGCCUGUUAAAAUGUUUUGGAUCCUGACUCUGUCAUACAUGAUAGCUAUAUCUCUCAUGUUUAGGUCAUCUACAAAUUUAAUAAAGAUAAUAUUUAUAUCUUCA